AUUGAACGCUGGCGGCAGGCCUAGCACAUGCAAGUCGAGCGGAUGAGUGGAGCUUGCUCCAUGAUUCAGCGGCGGACGGGUGAGUAAUGCCUAGGAAUCUGCCUGGUAGUGGGGGACAACGUUUCGAAAGGAACGCUAAUACCGCAUACGUCCUACGGGAGAAAGUGGGGGAUCUUCGGACCUCACGCUAUCAGAUGAGCCUAGGUCGGAUUAGCUAGUUGGUGAGGUAAAGGCUCACCAAGGCGACGAUCCGUAACUGGUCUGAGAGGAUGAUCAGUCACACUGGAACUGAGACACGGUCCAGACUCCUACGGGAGGCAGCAGUGGGGAAUAUUGGACAAUGGGCGAAAGCCUGAUCCAGCCAUGCCGCGUGUGUGAAGAAGGUCUUCGGAUUGUAAAGCACUUUAAGUUGGGAGGAAGGGCAGUAAGUUAAUACCUUGCUGUUUUGACGUUACCAACAGAAUAAGCACCGGCUAACUUCGUG
This 484-nucleotide ribosomal RNA is filed under the name uncultured bacterium. RNAcentral describes it as "partial 16S ribosomal RNA". It matches the Rfam family "Bacterial small subunit ribosomal RNA", at positions 30 to 507 of the family's 1533-position model. The record is from RNAcentral.